Molecule: long non-coding RNA, 306 nt
Organism: Cyanistes caeruleus (blue tit)
Lineage: Eukaryota; Metazoa; Chordata; Aves; Passeriformes; Paridae
Source: RefSeq, a predicted model, not a curated record
AGCCAAAGCAAUGGAGAGCCUGAAAUGCCAUCUGGAGCUGGGAGGCAAUGGCUUCAUGGAUAGCAAGGCCACAGCUGUGAACAUACAACUCUUGGAAUGGUUUAUACAGAAUUGUUUCACAGAGGGAACUCAAAACAUCUAUAACUGACCUUCAGGGGAAGCUGUUCUAUUGUCUUCUGUUGGGAAAACUGCAGCAUAAACUGUGUGUUUAGAGCAGCAUAAUCCUUUUUUUCACAAAAUGAAGAAAUUAUGGAUGCUUCAUCCACAAAAGUGACUCUUGGAUGUGGCCACUGCAUAAAUAAAAUG